UGGAUACACACUUCAGGAACGCGGUGCAGAAUUGGUUCAGAUCAGUCUAACGAAGAAGUUGGGAGACAGUUUCCGAGAAGGAAGAUAUGUGGCCGUGCUGUGUGAGAGUGUCGUGGGUGGCGUUUGACGACGCUCGUCAUGUACCGACCACGUGGAGACUCCAAUAAUUAAUGUUGCCUACCGCGCUUUCGAAGAAGACUUCGUCUUGAGGAGAAGUCCUUGCCGCUGCAAAUAUCCAUCUACUCUGAGAAUCCUCUGCCCUUUGUGCUUAGAGAAAGAAGGAUCAGCCCUGCACUGCGAUGUCGUCAUGGAUACUAGCAGGCUUGGGAUCGCUCGGGCAGGCCUUCAUCGGGAGCUUGAUGGGUAAAAUCAGCGACUAUGUGAUCGGAAGGGUUUUGGAGAGACUAAGCGCAUCAUCGGCAGACUCGAGAACAUGUGGAUUAAAGAUGAAGGCGAGAAAAAGCGAUUGAAGGAAUUGCUGAUGAAACUGAAGGACACUGUUUAUGACGCUGACGACUUGCUUGAUGAGAUCCAGUUCCGGGUUCUGAAGCAACAAGGAGCUCAGGGGUAUGAGGCAAGUAACCAAUCAUCUUCUUCUUCUGGUCUCCCUCCGAGUAAAAAAAGAAAAAUUUCUGAACGUGUCAGUCGCUUCUUCGGUAGAGAAGAUGAUGUGAUUAGAGUGAGGAAAAUUCAGAUGAAGUUAGAUAAAUAUACUACUGACAUCGAGCAUUUCAUCAAUUAUGAAAGUUACUGGUAUGGGUUUAGAGCGGAGGGCUCUUUGUUCACUGGUCCAAUUUGAAAGAUUAAAAAACAUUCGAGUGUUGGUAUUGUAUCACUGUGGCUUGCGAGAAUUGCUUGAGACAAUUGAUGACUUCGUACACCUCCGCUAUCUUGACAUAUCCCACAACUAUUACAUUUGGAGGGUGUCGGAGUCAUUAUGUCGUCUUUACAAUUUGCGAAUACUGAAUCUAUUUGAUUGUGAAAUACAGAGUUUCCCGGAUGACAUGAAGUACUCAAGGAUCACGGACACGCGAUUGCCCAAUUAGGCGGUCUGAAACGGGCUUCAUGGACAACUUCGAAUUACCAACCUUGAGAACGUUGAGAGUAAACAAGAAGCAAGCAAGGCUAAUCUGAACAACAAACAGUACCUUGAUGAACUGGCUUUAGAAUGGACACCGGAUGAUGGCUCCAGUUUGGAUGGUAAUGAAUUAGUUGUGUUGGAGGAGGCUCUUGAAGGUCUCCAACCACAUCAGGCUCUCAAACGUUUGAUGAUUAGAGGGUACAGUGGUGUCAGAUCACCCAGUUGGCUGCAGGCACAAUUGUUAGCGAACCUGGGAACUCUUGGAUUGAUAAACUGCAAAGCAUGGAAGGAUCUUUCAUGUAUUGGACAGCUACCGAAUCUCAAGAACCUUUACGUGGAGGGAAUGCCUGCAGUGAAACAAACAAGUCAUGAAUUAAGUACAGAGAGCAAGUUCCUGCCUAAUCUGGAAGAGCUAGUGCUGAAGGACAUGGUGGCAUUGGAGGAACUCCCGAGUCUUGGACAACUGCCGUGUCUUAAGGUUCUUCGCAUCGAGAGAAUGCCAGCAGUGACGAAGGUAGGCCACGGGUUCUUUGGUUGUAGAGAUCAAGGCACGUGUUUUCCAUGCUUGGAAGAACUCGUAUUCAGCGACAUGCCAGCAUGGGAAGAGUGGUCUUGGGCUGAUGGCCGAGAGCUGUUUCCCUGCUUGCGAAAACUACAAAUUGUACAAUGCUUGAGGCUUAAGAGGUUGCCUCCCCUCCCUCCUCCACUUGAAACAUUAAGAUUAGAUAAAGUCGGAUUGACAGAAGUGGCAGAGUUAUGGGAAGGAAUCGAUGGAAGUAGCACCAGUAUAACCGCAUGUUUUCAUAAUUUAGUCUUGAAAAGGUCGAGCUGAUGGACAUCCAAAGAGACUCCCUUGUCUUGGAUCCUUUGGUUCUAGAUGAUAGCAGAUAAAGAUUUUCUCAAUAUAUCUCUUUACUUUGUUGAGGAAAAUCUUCUAAUCUGUUGAUGGAAAUCUUAUCUCCUAACUUAUAUAAAUAGAAGAGGGACAUGUGAAUAUAAUCUUUUUUAUCUCUUUCUAUCA
This is a long non-coding RNA of Musa acuminata AAA Group (dessert banana), 2102 nucleotides long. RefSeq lists it as uncharacterized. The record is from RefSeq and is a predicted model, not a curated record. The transcript has 2 exons. Lineage: Eukaryota; Viridiplantae; Streptophyta; Magnoliopsida; Zingiberales; Musaceae.